RNA transcript from Onychostruthus taczanowskii (white-rumped snowfinch), 3146 nucleotides. RefSeq lists it as uncharacterized. Lineage: Eukaryota; Metazoa; Chordata; Aves; Passeriformes; Passeridae. The transcript has 6 exons. The record is from RefSeq and is a predicted model, not a curated record.
GUGCCGGGAACGGGAAAAUCCCCUUUCUCGGGCAGCAGCGCCGGGAGCCAGCGGGUGGUGCCUUCAGGUGCGUGGCCGGCGGGGACAGAGGUGCGCUGGGGUCACCUGCGUGUGGUGGCACCCGCAGGGGGACGUGUGUGCUUUUGGCACUGGUACGUGGGAAAAACUGCUGUGUGGGACGAGUUUGUCCCGGGACUUGAGGCUCUCUGGGGUCGUGUUUCAUGGAAUAAAACUGUGCCGCCUUCCCAGCUGCGGUGACAACGUUUUAUGGGAUGGGCUGAGCUCCCUUUCCCGGGAGGCAGCGGGAUGGGUGUCCCUGUGCCCACCUCGCCCCGGGUCCCAGCGAGAAGCUGCUCCUGUGGCCGAGGGUCGGCGGGGAAAACUGAACAUUCCUGAUGGAAACCGAUGGAAAAACAAGUUUGGUUUGGUUUUGGACUUGGCAUUUUCCCCCUGACCCCCACCUGAUCCGAGUGUUCUGCCUUAGGGAACAGGAGACAGAAGGGAGAAUGGGGGAAAAGAUAAUUCGUUACCCCAAAAGGGACGAGCUUAUUUCUACUUAUUUCCUGAAACACCUGGAAUGAUUUGGGCUCGGGAGGCACCUGGGAGCCUCCUUCUGAGUCCUGGGUGGAGCCGUGGUUAUAAAAGGGGUGAAGGAAGGAGGGAGGGGGGGCUCGGGGGGGAGAGGAGCACUGGCUGGGCUCAAUGGUGCCUUGGGGAUUUGCAUCUGGAACCGGCCAUCAGUUUCCUGAUGGGAAUCCUGGAAACAGAACUCCGUGAGAAAUGGGAAAACUGCAGCUGGAGUGCUGGGAGUGGAGAGUCUGCAGUGAACGCCUGGUGAGUCUCCUGAUGCCCCGUAUCUAAUGCUGUGCUGGCACCAGGUCAGCUCAUUCCGAUUUAAACUCUCUUGAAAUACGCUUAAAUUACAAAUUGGGCUACAAAAUGCAAGUGGGAAGCUUCGUGUUCCCAAGGGAAUUCUCUGGGGAUGGGCAGCUUGUGAGCUGCACAAAUAAUUCCUGCUCCCACAGAAACCUGCUGGCCCGUGGAUCCAGGGCAGAGUGGCAGAAAAGUGGCAGCUUGAGUGCCACCCUGAUAGUGAUUUUCCUUGGGGCUCUCAGGACCGGGGGGAAAUGGUGUUCACGGGAAAGCACGGAGCAGGAUGAGUGCUGCAGCUGUGCCUUUCCUGCUCUCUGCUGUUCCAGGGAUGCCCUGGAGGGCUCUGGCUCGGCAGGGUCUGUGUGUAAGAGCUUCCCUGCCUGCGCGCAGCUGGGUCAGUCACUGGGCUCCCUGGAAUCCCCGAGGCUGGAAAAGCCCUUUGUGAUGCUGGAAUGCCCCCAAGCAAACCUUCCCAAGCUGGGAGCAAAGCAGCGGCAGGGAGGGAAGUGCUGGGAAGGGUUUUCUCCCAGCUCUGGCCAGCCUCAAGGCAGGGGUGGUUUUUAAAUGUUUUGAAUGCUGCAGCAGCUCCCUCCCUGUGUGAGAGCUGCCUCGGCCCGGGGCAGUGUCUGACCCCAGGUCUUGGAAGCUGUGUGGAGAUUCCUCCCUGGAGCAGGGUCACCCCGUGAGGAUGAGCCACAGGGAUUCAGUCGUUGGACCAGUCUUCUCUCGGCUUUUUGUGCCACAGGGGAUCUGACCCCAGAGCCAUAGAGGGUGUCUGCUGCCUGGAUAAAUGUCAAUGAAAUUUGCCAAGUCUGACAGGAAAGCAGAAACGUCCUGGGGGUUGUUUGGCCAAAGACAGAACACGAAGAUGUCCGUACCAGCAGUGGGUGUGAGUGCUGCCAGUUUUGGCUUGUCUGGUGCCUCUGGUCCCUCAGAAGUCAGGGCAAGGCUGAAGCAAGGAGCAAAGCUGCAGGACAGGAAAAAUCAUCUAACUCCUCCCAUCUUUGCCAAAAGCUUCGGUGUCUAAGCAGCCAAAGCCAAGAGGCUUCAGCACCAGGGGUCUGCGCUGGAGGGCUCCUGGUCCUGCCCAGGCUGUGGGUGAGCCAGGGCUGGCACAAGGACUCGUGCAGGUCCUGGUCUGGCGCCGGAGCUGCUGCCCUUUGGAGCCAUUUUAAAGGUACAAUUAUAGAACAUUUCGGAGGCUGUUUCCAGAAUUCCACGUGCAGCUGGAUCUUGCUCCAAGUGCAGCAGCCAGGCUGUCCCGCUGCAGCACCCUGGCCCCUGCCGUGCCCGAGACACAGAGAGCCCUGGCCAGAGCUGUUGGCACUGCCAGUAACCAAGGAUGGCACUGGUGUGGGUUCAGAAGGAUUUAUUGCUCGCGUGGACAUCAGCUCAGAGGCCCCGAGACUUUAAAGGAGUAAGUAGCUGGCUAUAGUGCAAGAGUUUCUUCAUGACAAGGCAAUGCAUACCUUUCUAACCCAAGGGACAGCUGCCACAGGGGUUAUUUUGCUUUUCUAACCCACCACCUUUACUGAACUCUGCUGCACUGUGGGUGCCUCUGCUCAGCAGGCUUCUGUCUCGCUGGCACACGUGCUCUGUGGCAAUUCUGAGCUCCUCGCCUCUACACACCCACACCCUCGCAGCACAGACCCUUCUCCAUCCCACCCUUCAUUUCUCACUGAUUUAAAGCACUCUCUUACUUACAACCAUAGAACCAGAAGUUUAUGAUUCCUCUGCUUGAGGUCCGUCUGUUGGAUUUCUGCAUCAAUCCAAGCUUCUUCCAAGGCCGCAGAUCAAAUCUUCUAGUGUCUCUGGAAGUUUCUGCUUUUCCAAUUCCCACAUCUCUCCUCCCUCUCUGCAUUAAGAAAUUUUUAUUAGUGCAUCUGUUAAGCACUGGUAAUAAAUAUUUAUGUAAAUAAUGUGUUAUUAUUAGUAGUAGCAUUAUUAUAAUAAUUGAAAUGCACAAUUUUGUUAUUUUUUAAAUUAUGGUGUUUAAAUUUAUUUAUUAAACAAAUUAAGUUUUAUUAUUUAUUCUUAAUAUAUUUUAGAGUUGUGUAUUUUUAUAAAGAUAUUUUGAGGGAUUAGAUAAUUUUAUAUAUUUAUUAAAAAUUUUUAUCUUUAUAUUUGUGUGUUAAGAAAAUUUAUUGUUUUGUAAAACUGCAUGUUGAAUAUUUUUAAUAUCUGUUAAAAAGUUAUUUAAUGUAAGGGAUGUAGUAUUAGAUUGUUUCCUUAGAUAAUAUUUUCAUUUAUUUAAUUGUUUUAGUGUUGCUGUU